GGAGUCUGGGCCGUGUCUCAGUCCCAAUGUGGCCGUUCAACCUCUCAGUCCGGCUACUGAUCGUCGACUUGGUGAGCCGUUACCUCACCAACUAUCUAAUCAGACGCGAGCUCAUCUUUAAGCGAUAAAUCUUUGAUAGACAAAUCAUGCGGUUCGUCUAUAUUAUGCGGUAUUACCAUCCGUUUCCAAAUGUUAUUCCCCACUUAAAGGCAGAUUGCUCACGUGUUACUCACCCGUCCGCCACUGAUCGGGUUCCAAGCAAGCUUGAAACCGUCACCGUUCGACUUGCAUGUGUUAAGCGUGCCGCCAGCGUUCGUCCUGAGCCAGGAUCAAACUACU
RNAcentral lists this ribosomal RNA (339 nucleotides) under uncultured Ruminococcus sp. RNAcentral's name for it is "partial 16S ribosomal RNA". The record is from RNAcentral. Lineage: Bacteria; Bacillati; Bacillota; Clostridia; Eubacteriales; Oscillospiraceae.